Molecule: ribosomal RNA, 895 nt
Filed under: Weissella confusa
Lineage: Bacteria; Bacillati; Bacillota; Bacilli; Lactobacillales; Lactobacillaceae
Description: bacterial SSU rRNA
Rfam family: Bacterial small subunit ribosomal RNA
Source: RNAcentral
GAUGAACGCUGGCGGCGUGCAUAAUACAUGCAAGUCGAACGCUUUGUGGUUCAACUGAUUUGAAGAGCUUGCUCAGAUAUGACGAUGGACAUUGCAAAGAGUGGCGAACGGGUGAGUAACACGUGGGAAACCUACCUCUUAGCAGGGGAUAACAUUUGGAAACAGAUGCUAAUACCGUAUAACAAUGACAACCGCAUGGUUGUUAUUUAAAAGAUGGUUCUGCUAUCACUAAGAGAUGGUCCCGCGGUGCAUUAGCUAGUUGGUAAGGUAAUGGCUUACCAAGGCGAUGAUGCAUAGCCGAGUUGAGAGACUGAUCGGCCACAAUGGGACUGAGACACGGCCCAUACUCCUACGGGAGGCAGCAGUAGGGAAUCUUCCACAAUGGGCGAAAGCCUGAUGGAGCAACGCCGCGUGUGUGAUGAAGGGUUUCGGCUCGUAAAACACUGUUGUAAGAGAAGAAUGACAUUGAGAGUAACUGUUCAAUGUGUGACGGUAUCUUACCAGAAAGGAACGGCUAAAUACGUGCCAGCAGCCGCGGUAAUACGUAUGUUCCAAGCGUUAUCCGGAUUUAUUGGGCGUAAAGCGAGCGCAGACGGUUAUUUAAGUCUGAAGUGAAAGCCCUCAGCUCAACUGAGGAAUUGCUUUGGAAACUGGAUGACUUGAGUGCAGUAGAGGAAAGUGGAACUCCAUGUGUAGCGGUGAAAUGCGUAGAUAUAUGGAAGAACACCAGUGGCGAAGGCGGCUUUCUGGACUGUAACUGACGUUGAGGCUCGAAAGUGUGGGUAGCAAACAGGAUUAGAUACCCUGGUAGUCCACACCGUAAACGAUGAGUGCUAGGUGUUUGAGGGUUUCCGCCCUUAAGUGCCGCAGCUAACGCAUUAAGCACUCCGCCUGG